Molecule: unclassified non-coding RNA, 355 nt
Filed under: soil metagenome
Description: partial contains 5.8S ribosomal RNA, internal transcribed spacer 2, and large subunit ribosomal RNA
Rfam family: 5.8S ribosomal RNA (bases 1-120)
Source: RNAcentral
GAUGAAGAACGUAGCGAAAUGCGAUAAGUAAUGCGAAUUGCAGAAUUCAGUGAAUCAUCGAAUCUUUGAACGCACAUUGCGCCCGCUAGUAUUCUGGCGGGCAUGCCUGUCUGAGCGUCAUUUCAACCCUCGCCCCCGGCUUUUGCUGGGAGCGGUGUUGGGGAUCGGCCGCCCGUCACUGGGAGGCCGGCCCCGAAAUAGAGUGGCGACCACGCCGUGUGCUCCUCUGCGUAGUAGUAAAUCACCUCGCAGGCGGACAGCGGUGCGGCCUGCCGUAAAACCCCCAACUCUUACUGGUUGACCUCAGAUCAGGUAGGAAUACCCGCUGAACUUAAGCAUAUCAAUAAGCGGAGGA